GGGAGAAAGCAGGGGACCUUCGGGCCUUGCGCUAUCAGAUGAGCCUAGGUCGGAUUAGCUAGUUGGUGGGGUAAUGGCUCACCAAGGCGACGAUCCGUAACUGGUCUGAGAGGAUGAUCAGUCACACUGGAACUGAGACACGGUCCAGACUCCUACGGGAGGCAGCAGUGGGGAAUAUUGGACAAUGGGCGAAAGCCUGAUCCAGCCAUGCCGCGUGUGUGAAGAAGGUCUUCGGAUUGUAAAGCACUUUAAGUUGGGAGGAAGGGCAGUAAAUUAAUACUUUGCUGUUUUGACGUUACCGACAGAAUAAGCACCGGCUAACUCUGUGCCAGCAGCCGCGGUAAUACAGAGGGUGCAAGCGUUAAUCGGAAUUACUGGGCGUAAAGCGCGCGUAGGUGGUUCGUUAAGUUGGAUGUGAAAUCCCCGGGCUCAACCUGGGAACUGCAUUCAAAACUGACGAGCUAGAGUAUGGUAGAGGGUGGUGGAAUUUCCUGUGUAGCGGUGAAAUGCGUAGAUAUAGGAAGGAACACCAGUGGCGAAGGCGACCACCUGGACUGAUACUGACACUGAGGUGCGAAAGCGUGGGGAGCAAACAGGAUUA
This 601-nucleotide ribosomal RNA is filed under the name uncultured Pseudomonas sp. Its description in RNAcentral is "bacterial SSU rRNA". It matches the Rfam family "Bacterial small subunit ribosomal RNA", at positions 198 to 780 of the family's 1533-position model. The record is from RNAcentral. Lineage: Bacteria; Pseudomonadati; Pseudomonadota; Gammaproteobacteria; Pseudomonadales; Pseudomonadaceae.